UGCUUCCUCAAUGCCAAUUUCUCUCAUCUCCAGAAAUGUGGCCGUGAUCGGCGCCGGCGCCUCGGGCCUUGUUGCUGCACGUGAGCUCCGCCGAGAGGGCCACAAAGUCGUAGUCUUCGAACGAGAAAACCAAAUAGGCGGCACAUGGGUGUACGAUCCCCGGGUCGAACCAGACCCGUUGAGCCUCGAUCCUAACAGACUCAUAAUCCACUCGAGCCUCUACAGCUCUCUCCGCACCAACC
Molecule: unclassified non-coding RNA, 242 nt
Filed under: Hevea brasiliensis (rubber tree)
Lineage: Eukaryota; Viridiplantae; Streptophyta; Magnoliopsida; Malpighiales; Euphorbiaceae
Source: RNAcentral